UUAAUAGUAGGUUAAAAAAACUUAAGAAUUGUGGUUUCUUAGAUCUUCGGCUAUUGAGCUCUUUUC
RNAcentral lists this transfer RNA (66 nucleotides) under Planorbella duryi. RNAcentral's name for it is "tRNA-His". The record is from RNAcentral. RNAcentral also lists the same sequence under 1 other name. Lineage: Eukaryota; Metazoa; Mollusca; Gastropoda; Planorbidae.